RNAcentral lists this ribosomal RNA (230 nucleotides) under uncultured bacterium. RNAcentral's name for it is "partial 16S ribosomal RNA". It matches the Rfam family "Bacterial small subunit ribosomal RNA", at positions 524 to 753 of the family's 1533-position model. The record is from RNAcentral.
UACGAAGGGGGCUAGCGUUGCUCGGAAUCACUGGGCGUAAAGCGCACGUAGGCGGACUCUUAAGUCGGUGGUGAAAUCCUGGAGCUCAACUCCAGAACUGCCUUCGAUACUGGGAGUCUCGAGUUCGGGAGAGGUGAGUGGAACUGCGAGUGUAGAGGUGAAAUUCGUAGAUAUUCGCAAGAACACCAGUGGCGAAGGCGGCUCACUGGCCCGAUACUGACGCUGAGGUG